GCGAACGUGGUGAAACUGGUAGACACGCUAUCUUCAGACGGUAGUGUCUUUUGACAUGUGGGUUCGAAUCCCAUUAUCUGCACCA
RNAcentral lists this transfer RNA (85 nucleotides) under Anaeroplasmataceae bacterium. Its description in RNAcentral is "tRNA-Leu". It matches the Rfam family "tRNA". Rfam says of the family: Transfer RNA (tRNA) molecules are approximately 80 nucleotides in length. The record is from RNAcentral. Lineage: Bacteria; Bacillati; Mycoplasmatota; Mollicutes; Anaeroplasmatales; Anaeroplasmataceae.